GGGGUUGUGGCUCAAUGGUAGAGCAUUCAUCUCGCACAUGGGAGGCCCUGGGUUCAAUCCUCAGAACCACA
RNAcentral lists this transfer RNA (71 nucleotides) under Marmota monax (woodchuck). It matches the Rfam family "tRNA". From Rfam's summary of the family: Transfer RNA (tRNA) molecules are approximately 80 nucleotides in length. Their secondary structure includes four short double-helical elements and three loops (D, anti-codon, and T loops). Further hydrogen bonds mediate the characteristic L-shaped molecular structure. tRNAs have two regions of fundamental functional importance: the anti-codon, which is responsible for specific mRNA codon recognition, and the 3' end, to which the tRNAs corresponding amino acid is attached (by aminoacyl-tRNA synthetases). tRNAs cope with the degeneracy of the genetic code in two manners: having more than one tRNA (with a specific anti-codon) for a particular amino acid; and 'wobble' base-pairing, i.e. permitting non-standard base-pairing at the 3rd anti-codon position. Lineage: Eukaryota; Metazoa; Chordata; Mammalia; Rodentia; Sciuridae. The record is from Rfam by way of RNAcentral.